This is a long non-coding RNA of Sitophilus oryzae (rice weevil), 381 nucleotides long. RefSeq lists it as uncharacterized. The transcript has 3 exons. Lineage: Eukaryota; Metazoa; Arthropoda; Insecta; Coleoptera; Curculionidae. The record is from RefSeq and is a predicted model, not a curated record.
UGCUUCAUCCAAACUAUUUUAAUAAUUAAAACACUGAGAUAACUGGAGAUAACGUAAAGAAUUAUUAGGUUCGAGAAUUAUCUAGACUUGGUGGUUCAGGAGUAGCACAAAGUACAAGGAAAGUGCUGUAUAAGGUUCUUGGCAAUGAAAUUGCACAAAAAUAUUCUUGGGAUGGGGCCAAACAGAAGAGAAGUUUGAAAUCAUUGUUAGUGGCCAAAAGCAAUUUUAGACUCCAUGAAAGGUCAAUUUCAAGAGUCAAAAGAAACCGAAAUUAUCAAUACAAUUAAAAUAUGGCUUGUAAAAACAAAAGAAAGAUUAAAAAAUACAAAGGUAAGUUGUGCAAAUUUAUUUGAACAGUAUAAUUCUGCUGAUAUUAUUUCA